GACGAACGCUGGCGGCGUGCUUAACACAUGCAAGUCGAACGGAAAGGCCCUGCUUUUGUGGGGUGCUCGAGUGGCGAACGGGUGAGUAACACGUGAGUAACCUGCCCUUGACUUUGGGAUAACUUCAGGAAACUGGGGCUAAUACCGGAUAGGAGCUCCUGCUGCAUGGUGGGGGUUGGAAAGUUUCGGCGGUUGGGGAUGGACUCGCGGCUUAUCAGCUUGUUGGUGGGGUAGUGGCUUACCAAGGCUUUGACGGGUAGCCGGCCUGAGAGGGUGACCGGCCACAUUGGGACUGAGAUACGGCCCAGACUCCUACGGGAGGCAGCAGUGGGGAAUAUUGCACAAUGGGCGGAAGCCUGAUGCAGCAACGCCGCGUGCGGGAUGACGGCCUUCGGGUUGUAAACCGCUUUCGCCUGUGACGAAGUGUGAGUGACGGUAACGGGUAAAGAAGCACCGGCUAACUACGUG
This 468-nucleotide ribosomal RNA is filed under the name uncultured bacterium. Its description in RNAcentral is "partial 16S ribosomal RNA". It matches the Rfam family "Bacterial small subunit ribosomal RNA", at positions 28 to 507 of the family's 1533-position model. The record is from RNAcentral.